GACGAACGCCGGCGGCGUGCCUAAUACAUGCAAGUAGAACGCUGAAGGAGGAGCUUGCUUCUCUGGAUGAGUUGCGAACGGGUGAGUAACGCGUAGGUAACCUGCCUGGUAGCGGGGGAUAACUAUUGGAAACGAUAGCUAAUACCGCAUAAGAGUAGAUGUUGCAUGACAUUUGCUUAAAAGGUGCAAUUGCAUCACUACCAGAUGGACCUGCGUUGUAUUAGCUAGUUGGUGAGGUAACGGCUCACCAAGGCAACGAUACAUAGCCGACCUGAGAGGGUGAUCGGCCACACUGGGACUGAGACACGGCCCAGACUCCUACGGGAGGCAGCAGUAGGGAAUCUUCGGCAAUGGACGGAAGUCUGACCGAGCAACGCCGCGUGAGUGAAGAAGGUUUUCGGAUUGUAAAGCUCUGUUGUAAGAGAAGAACGAGUGUGAGAGUGGAAAGUUCACACUGUGACG
This 462-nucleotide ribosomal RNA is filed under the name Streptococcus mitis. RNAcentral's name for it is "bacterial SSU rRNA". It matches the Rfam family "Bacterial small subunit ribosomal RNA", at positions 28 to 474 of the family's 1533-position model. Lineage: Bacteria; Bacillati; Bacillota; Bacilli; Lactobacillales; Streptococcaceae. The record is from RNAcentral.